This 548-nucleotide ribosomal RNA is filed under the name uncultured bacterium. RNAcentral describes it as "partial 16S ribosomal RNA". It matches the Rfam family "Bacterial small subunit ribosomal RNA", at positions 355 to 893 of the family's 1533-position model. The record is from RNAcentral.
UAGGGAAUCUUCGGCAAUGGGGGCAACCCUGACCGAGCAACGCCGCGUGAGUGAAGAAGGUUUUUCGGAUCGUAAAGCUCUGUUGUAAGUCAAGAACGGGUGUGAGAGUGGAAAGUUCACACUGUGACGGUAGCUUACCAGAAAGGGACGGCUAACUACGUGCUAGCAGCCGCGGUAAUACGUAGGUCCCGAGCGUUGUCCGGAUUUAUUGGGCGUAAAGCGAGCGCAGGCGGUUUGAUAAGUCUGAAGUUAAAGGCUGUGGCUCAACCAUAGUUCGCUUUGGAAACUGUCAAACUUGAGUGCAGAAGGGGAGAGUGGAAUUCCAUGUGUAGCGGUGAAAUGCGUAGAUAUAUGGAGGAACACCGGUGGCGAAAGCGGCUCUCUGGUCUGUAACUGACGCUGAGGCUCGAAAGCGUGGGGAGCGAACAGGAUUAGAUACCCUGGUAGUCCACGCCGUAAACGAUGAGUGCUAGGUGUUGGAUCCUUUCCGGGAUUCAGUGCCGCAGCUAACGCAUUAAGCACUCCGCCUGGGGAGUACGACCGCAAGG